GCCAGCAGCCAUAUCACCCUUCAACUCACAACUGGCAGCCCACUGAAGCUCAGCAGGUGUGAGCCUGGUCAGUACCUGGAUGGGAGACCUCCUGGGGAAAAACUAAGGUUGCUGCUGGAA
This 120-nucleotide ribosomal RNA is filed under the name Lepisosteus oculatus (spotted gar). The record is from RNAcentral. Lineage: Eukaryota; Metazoa; Chordata; Actinopteri; Semionotiformes; Lepisosteidae.